Non-coding RNA from Erinaceus europaeus (western European hedgehog), 322 nucleotides. NCBI's taxonomy places the organism in Eukaryota, Metazoa, Chordata, Mammalia, Eulipotyphla, Erinaceidae. The record is from Rfam.
GGAUGUGAGGGUGAUCUGGCUGUGACAUCUGUCACCCCAUUGAUAGCCAGGGUUGAUUUGGCUGACCGACUGGCUAGGCGGGUGGCCCCUUCCUCCCUCACCACUCCAUGUGCGUCCCUCCCGGAACUGCGUGCUCAGUCGAAGAGGAUGGCCUUCCCUGAAUACGGCCCACUCUUUGGUCAAGGGUCUAAGAGUAGCUGCGCUCUCCUGACCUCCGAACAACUCUAUUUGGUCUAUUUAUAGGAGAACGUAGGGUAGCCAAGCUUCCAAGACUCCAGACACAUCCAAAUGAGGCGCUGCAUGUGGCAGUCUGCCUUUAAAA